This 332-nucleotide unclassified non-coding RNA is filed under the name uncultured Borrelia sp. RNAcentral describes it as "partial contains 5S-23S ribosomal RNA intergenic spacer and 23S ribosomal RNA". The stretch from base 152 to 332 matches the Rfam family "Bacterial large subunit ribosomal RNA", at positions 1 to 188 of the family's 2925-position model. Lineage: Bacteria; Pseudomonadati; Spirochaetota; Spirochaetia; Spirochaetales; Borreliaceae. The record is from RNAcentral.
UGAAUUUAUUUUUUAAAUGUUUAUAUUAUUUGAAUGUUUUAUUCAAAUAAUAUAAAAAAUAAUAUAUAUAUUGACAUGGAUUAAACAAAGAUAUAUAUUAUUCUAUGUUGUAUAAACAAAUUGGCAAAAUAGAGAUGGAAGAUAAAAAUAUGGUCAAAGUAAUAAGAGUCUAUGGUGAAUGCCUAGGAGCUUUAAGGCGAAGAAGGUCGUGGUAAGCUGCGAAAAGCUUGGGGGAAAAGCAAACAUUUAUUGAUCCCAAGAUUACCGAAUGGAGUAAUCCAGCUAGCAAGAUGCUAGCUAUCUAUUAUCUAAAUAAUAGAGGCGAUACCAGG